AGCCAGUCCCCUCGGGACCCUUCCGCCCGGCCCUGACGGCAGGGGCGGGGCGAGGGCUGCCCUCUGAUUGGCUCUUCGGGUGAAUGGUUGCCAAGAGACGAGUAAAUCCUCAGCGGCGGGAAGGGGCGGGGUGCUCAGGGAGGCAGCACUGCGCAAGCGCAAUAGAGGGGGCUGCGUCGACACCCACUUAACUUCGGAGUUAGUGGGACACCUUUCUUUUUGCUUAGUACGCUUUUCUGCUAUUCCUGCCGCAUAACUCUCUCUUCCCCAGGCUUUUCCCAUCUCCAUCCUAUUCUCUCGCAGGUGCUGGGGGAAAAGAUUACUUCCCAGAUGCAGUAUUUACAUCUCCUCCGCCCUACUCUUCCAACCCUGCCUGAAAUAAGUGUGGUUCUCCUGUCUGUCAGACUAUGAAGAGUUCUCAAAUAUGUCUUUCCCAGCGAGGGAGAGGAGAAAACUUCAGCCUCCACGAUCGAUGUUUCUCAAGUGUCAAGGAAAAUGGAGCCUAGGAGGGCAGCCCCACAAGCAGCGUGAUGGGCAUUUAAGCCGACGCAUGUGCCAGGUCCUAGAACAGAGUAACUUCCCCAUCUCAACACAAUAAAAUGGUGAUAUGAGAAUACCUGUCUUAUGCGGAUGUUGUGAGGAUGAAGUGGGCUAAUUCACACACAGGAAGUUUUCAAAAAAUGUCAGCUAGUAUUAUUCAGGAGGCUUCCCUCUCUGGGACUGAGAUUCUUCUCCUGAAAAAGGAGGGAAUCUUCCAGAAAAUCUCCAGGGCCCCUACCAGCCUGACAUGCAGCUCUUGGCAGAGAAUGGAGCUGAGGCAGGAGCUUCUUCAAAGACCCUCUCAUUGAGGAGCAAGGGACCCUGACCAGCCAUUGCCCACUGUUCACCACGUGAGGUCACAGGGACUGUCUGCUAGGCGGCCCCCAGGCCCCUCAGGGAAGACAUUGAUGUUAGUUUUGUUUUUGUUUUGUUUUCAGUGUAGAAAUGUAGCAGAGAAACACAGGGCAAGUCCACGCUGAUCAUCACAUACAUGGUACAUCAAGAGCAGGGCUGAGCACGCAGUCUAAGACAUUGUGUCAUCCUGUGGGGCUCAGGCUCCUCAUCCAUACAAUAGGGUCACCCUGCCUGUCACUUGGAGUAACCAUGAGAAUUACAUAAGAUAACCUGUGUGACCUGUGAAAGUGUGUGUCCCAUCACAGCACCUGGUGCAUAUCUGUUUUCCUUC
This 1225-nucleotide long non-coding RNA is filed under the name Homo sapiens (human). RNAcentral's name for it is "HSALNT0013380". The record is from RNAcentral. Lineage: Eukaryota; Metazoa; Chordata; Mammalia; Primates; Hominidae.